Molecule: transfer RNA, 75 nt
Filed under: Enterovirga aerilata
Lineage: Bacteria; Pseudomonadati; Pseudomonadota; Alphaproteobacteria; Hyphomicrobiales; Methylobacteriaceae
Description: tRNA-Thr
Rfam family: tRNA
About the family: Transfer RNA (tRNA) molecules are approximately 80 nucleotides in length. Their secondary structure includes four short double-helical elements and three loops (D, anti-codon, and T loops).
Source: RNAcentral
GCCCGGCUAGCUCAGGGGUAGAGCGGCUGUUUUGUAAACAGCGGGUCGCGGGUUCAAAUCCUGCGCUGGGCUCCA